RNAcentral lists this ribosomal RNA (1296 nucleotides) under Triticum aestivum (bread wheat). RNAcentral's name for it is "partial small subunit ribosomal RNA". The record is from RNAcentral. Lineage: Eukaryota; Viridiplantae; Streptophyta; Magnoliopsida; Poales; Poaceae.
AUGCGGAGCACGGGCCCGGCAACAACGGUGACGCGGGUGGCGCAGAGGGUCGUCGCCCCGUCGGCGCCCACGCCCGGGGGCGAGCUCCCGCUCUCCUGGCUCGACCGCUACCCCACGCAGCGCGCGCUCAUCGAGUCCCUCCACGUCUUCAAGGGCCGCGCCGGCGACGACGCCGCCGAGUCCCCGGUCAAGGCCAUCGAGCGCGCCCUGGCCGCCGCGCUCGUGAGCUACUACCCCAUCGCCGGCCGGCUCGCGCUGUCCGACGGCGGCGAGCUGGUCGUGGACUGUACCGGCGAGGGCGUGUGGUUCGUGGAGGCCACCGCGAGCUGCACCCUGGAGGAGGUGGACUACCUCGAGUACCCGCUCAUGGUGCCCAAGGACGAGCUGCUGCCGCACCCCACCUACCCCGCCUCCGACCCCCUCGCCGAGGACUCCGUAAUCCUUCUAGUCCAGGUCACGCAGUUCGCGUGCGGCGGCUUCGUGGUCGGGUUCCGGUUCAGCCACGCCGUCGCGGACGGCCCCGGCGCGGCGCAGUUCAUGUCGGCGAUGGGCGAGAUCGCGCGCGGGCGCGCCGCGCCGUCGCUGACGCCGGCGUGGGGCCGCGAGGCGAUCCCGAGCCCGCCGGCCGCGUCCGUGGGCCCGCUCCCGGUCCCGACGGAGCUCCGGCUGCAGUAUCUGGCCAUGGACAUCUCCACCGACUACAUCGACCACUUCAAGGCCCGGUUCCUGGAGGAGACGGGGCACCGGUGCAGCGCGUUCGAGGUGCUGAUCGCCAAGGCGUGGCAGGCCCGCACCCGCGCCGCCGGGUUCGCGAGGGGCUCCCCCGUGCACGUGUGCUUCGCCAUGAACGCGCGGCCGGCGCUCCGCCCCCGCGCGCUGCCCGACGGGUUCUACGGCAACUGCUACUACAUCAUGCGCGUGUCGGCGCCGGCGGAGGCCGUGUCGGACGCGCCGCUGAACGACGUGGUCCGGCUGAUCCGCGAGGGCAAGAAGCGGCUCCCGUCCGAGUUCGCGCGGUGGAGCCGCGGGGAGAUGGGCGACGGCGGGGACCCGUACCGCAUCACGUCCGACUACCGGACGCUGCUGGUGUCGGACUGGUCGCGGCUGGGGUUCGCGGAGGUGGACUACGGUUGGGGCGCCCCCGUGCACGUGGUGCCCCUCACCAACCUGGACUACAUCGCGACGUGCAUCCUGGUCCGCCCCUCCGCGCACAAGCCCGGCGCGCGCCUCAUCACCCAGUGCGUCGCCGCCGACGGCGUCGACGCCUUCCACCGGGACAUGAUGCGCCUCGACUGA